CCUCUGUGCACGAUUUUAUCAUUUUUUACGCAAAUAUACUGUAUAAUCGUCAAUUUUUUUUCUCUCUGUCUGUUAUGAUUUAACAAAUAUGGCUACUCAUUAAAUGUCAUGUUUUGAAGCCGAAGUUUACCGAUUGUCACCUUAUAGUAAAUAAUCAACAAAAAAGCAUGGGUAUUUAGCACGUGUUUAACAUAUACAAUCAGGUAAUUGUUUAUUUUAAUGACAGAUUCAUGUGUAUUGCUAUCACCAGAUUUUUACGAGGAGGGUCACGCUUAGGUCACUAUGCAUACGGAAAAUAUGUCUGCGAAUUGCUUCCUGGCAGCAAGCAAUUAAAAAUAAGUAAACUUCUUCUAAAU
RNAcentral lists this long non-coding RNA (356 nucleotides) under Mytilus galloprovincialis (Mediterranean mussel). The record is from RNAcentral. Lineage: Eukaryota; Metazoa; Mollusca; Bivalvia; Mytilida; Mytilidae.